AAUUCGAAGCAACGCGAAGAACCUUACCAGGUCUUGACAUCCCGAUGCUAUUUCUAGAGAUAGAAAGUUACUUCGGUACAUCGGUGACAGGUGGUGCAUGGUUGUCGUCAGCUCGUGUCGUGAGAUGUUGGGUUAAGUCCCGCAACGAGCGCAACCCCUAUUGUUAGUUGCCAUCAUUCAGUUGGGCACUCUAGCGAGACUGCCGGUAAUAAACCGGAGGAAGGUGGGAUGACGUCAAAUCAUCAUGCCCCUUAUGACCUGGGCUACACACGUGCUACAAUGGUUGGUACACGAGUUGCGAGUCGGUGACGGCGAGCUAAUCUCUUAAAGCCAAUCUCAGUUCGGAUUGUAGGCUGCAACUCGCCUACAUGAAGUCGGAAUCGCUAGUAAUCGCGGAUCAGCACGCCCGCGGUCCGAAUACGUUCCCGGGCCUU
RNAcentral lists this ribosomal RNA (434 nucleotides) under uncultured Streptococcus sp. RNAcentral describes it as "bacterial SSU rRNA". It matches the Rfam family "Bacterial small subunit ribosomal RNA", at positions 948 to 1382 of the family's 1533-position model. The record is from RNAcentral. Lineage: Bacteria; Bacillati; Bacillota; Bacilli; Lactobacillales; Streptococcaceae.